Molecule: non-coding RNA, 39 nt
Filed under: unclassified sequences
Description: DUF805b RNA
Rfam family: DUF805b RNA
About the family: Bacteroidetes, Chlorobi (1 example), Proteobacteria. Lineage (Flavobacteria)
Source: RNAcentral
AACGGGAAAGCCGAAAACCGUAUACGAACAGAGUAGGUA